Molecule: transfer RNA, 67 nt
Filed under: human gut metagenome
Rfam family: tRNA
About the family: Transfer RNA (tRNA) molecules are approximately 80 nucleotides in length. Their secondary structure includes four short double-helical elements and three loops (D, anti-codon, and T loops).
Source: RNAcentral
AGGCGUAGUUCAAUGGUAGAACCUCAGAUUACCAAUCUGACUACGCGGGUUCGAUUCCCGUCGCCUG